AGAGCGAACGCUGGCGGCAGGCCUAACACAUGCAAGUCGAGCGCCCCGCAAGGGGAGCGGCAGACGGGAGAGUAACACGUGGGAACGUACCCUUCAGUUCGGAACAACCCAGGGAAACUUGGGCUAAUACCGAAUACGUCCGUAAGGAGAAAGAUUUAUCGCUGAAGGAUCGGCCCGCGUCUGAUUAGCUAGUUGGUGAGGUAACGGCUCACCAAGGCUACGAUCAGUAGCUGGUCUGAGAGGAUGAUCAGCCUCACUGGGACUGAGACACGGCCCAGACUCCUACGGGAGGCAGCAGUGGGGAAUAUGGACAAUGGGCGCAAGCCUGAUCCAGCCAUGCCGCGUGGAUGAUGAAGGCCUUAGGGUUGUAAAGUCCUUUCGACGGGGAAGAUAAUGACGGUACCCGUAGAAGAAGCCCCAGCUAACUCGUGCCAGCAGCCGC
This 442-nucleotide ribosomal RNA is filed under the name uncultured bacterium. RNAcentral describes it as "SSU rRNA". It matches the Rfam family "Bacterial small subunit ribosomal RNA", at positions 26 to 518 of the family's 1533-position model. The record is from RNAcentral.